AUAAGAUACAAUGGCAGGUAGAGUGUGAGUUACAGUGAUAUAUUAC
This 46-nucleotide non-coding RNA is filed under the name Trypanosoma brucei brucei. The record is from RNAcentral. Lineage: Eukaryota; Euglenozoa; Kinetoplastea; Trypanosomatida; Trypanosomatidae.